Molecule: long non-coding RNA, 352 nt
Organism: Clupea harengus (Atlantic herring)
Lineage: Eukaryota; Metazoa; Chordata; Actinopteri; Clupeiformes; Clupeidae
Source: Ensembl
CCCAGGGCAAUUACCUAUACCAAAACCCACUGCAUGUAUGCCAGGAAGGAUUGGCACACAAGCACCUAUUCACAGAAUACAGAGAGUGAGGCAUAGAAUACAGAGAGAGUGAGGCAUAGAAUACAAUAAGAGUGAGGCAUAGAAUACAGUGAGGGUGAGGCAUAGAAUACAGUGAGGGUGAGGCAUAUAAUACAGUGAGAGUGAGGCAUAGAAUACAGAGAGGGUGAGGCCUAUAAUACAGAGAGAGUGAGGCAUAGAAUACAGAGAGUGAGGCAUAUAAUACAGAGAGAGUGAAGUUUAUUUCAAAUGAUCAUAGGUAGACUAUUGUAUGGAAGGGUCACAACAAGGGUUA